RNAcentral lists this ribosomal RNA (427 nucleotides) under uncultured Vibrio sp. RNAcentral describes it as "bacterial SSU rRNA". It matches the Rfam family "Bacterial small subunit ribosomal RNA", at positions 353 to 772 of the family's 1533-position model. The record is from RNAcentral. Lineage: Bacteria; Pseudomonadati; Pseudomonadota; Gammaproteobacteria; Vibrionales; Vibrionaceae.
AGUGGGGAAUAUUGCACAAUGGGCGCAAGCCUGAUGCAGCCAUGCCGCGUGUGUGAAGAAGGCCUUCGGGUUGUAAAGCACUUUCAGCAGUGAGGAAGGUGGUUAGAUUAAUACUCUAAUCAUUUGACGUUAGCUGCAGAAGAAGCACCGGCUAACUCCGUGCCAGCAGCCGCGGUAAUACGGAGGGUGCGAGCGUUAAUCGGAAUUACUGGGCGUAAAGCGCAUGCAGGUGGUUUGUUAAGUCAGAUGUGAAAGCCCGGGGCUCAACCUCGGAAGGCCAUUUGAAACUGGCAAACUAGAGUACUGUAGAGGGGGGUAGAAUUUCAGGUGUAGCGGUGAAAUGCGUAGAGAUCUGAAGGAAUACCGGUGGCGAAGGCGGCCCCCUGGACAGAUACUGACACUCAGAUGCGAAAGCGUGGGGAGCAAA